Molecule: unclassified non-coding RNA, 377 nt
Filed under: fungal sp.
Lineage: Eukaryota; Fungi
Description: partial internal transcribed spacer region
Source: RNAcentral
CUUGGUCAUUUUGAGAGCUGCGAAUACAAUGCGUCGAAGAUGGCAGAUCCCUUCACGAUGCGAUCGGAAUCAUCGGCAGUCGCUGCAGCAAUUCCGGUGAUUACACUUUGCACGCCCGCAGUUUCCGCGCGAUUGAACUUUUCAUCCUUGAGAUCGAUGUCGUGCACGAUCUCUCCAAUCGCCUCGAGCGCGGGAUCAUGGAGCGAGAAUUUUUCGACCAGCACUUCGAACGUGCAGCGAUCGCCUUCGUGUGUGUACUCACCGUCGAACAUGUCGAACCGAAGCUCGCCCUCCUGUCGACGAUAUCCUUUUGGUGAAACGAAUUUGAAAACCGCCGCCCGAUCGAUGAAUCGGCGGAUGAGCCAUGCGCUUGCAAU